GUGUGAGGAUCGCCGGGGGUCAGCCUUGACUUGGAAUAUGCUCUCCUUUUGCUGGGAGAAUUUGGAAUGAGACUCUACAUUUUGGAUCAAGAUAACGCACAGGCAGUAAAAGUGGUUGCGAUUUCUCUGUGGUGUUUAUCGGAAAUGAGUCUGAAGACAUAGUCACAAUGAGUCAGAGAGGGAGCCCACGCCUGGAGCUGCUAAUGACUUCCCACAACUUUCCAGCGUGAGCAGAGGGGCUGAGGAAAAGACUGACGUGGGGAGGGCAAAGCUGCGGGACAGGACCUCAGGCCAGUUCGCACGAGCUCCUGGAUGCAGCUGUGCCUGCAGCCAGCAAUCACCACUGGCGUUUUCCUCUGCUGGACCAGUCAUACGUUUUCCUUUCGGGGCCAGCAAACGGGUCGGCAGCAGACACGGCCCUCCCUGACAGAGCUCCGAUGUCAGAUUUUGUCACUAUCUUGAAUUUGAAAACUCCAUUGCUCUGCUGCCUCUUCCAUGGUGCUCAGAGGUCUUGGAUUCUGCAU
Callorhinus ursinus (northern fur seal) is the source of this 524-nucleotide non-coding RNA. The record is from RefSeq and is a predicted model, not a curated record. NCBI's taxonomy places the organism in Eukaryota, Metazoa, Chordata, Mammalia, Carnivora, Otariidae.